This 253-nucleotide ribosomal RNA is filed under the name uncultured bacterium. RNAcentral's name for it is "partial 16S ribosomal RNA". It matches the Rfam family "Bacterial small subunit ribosomal RNA", at positions 524 to 776 of the family's 1533-position model. The record is from RNAcentral.
UACGUAGGGGGCUAGCGUUGUCCGGAAUCAUUGGGCGUAAAGCGCGUGUAGGCGGUCCGGUAAGUCCGCUGUGAAAGUCGGGGGCUCAACCCUCGGAUGCCGAUCGAUACUGUCGGGCUAGAGUCCGGAAGAGGCGAGUGGAAUUCCUGGUGUAGCGGUGAAAUGCGCAGAUAUCAGGAGGAACACCAAUGGCGAAGGCAGCUCGCUGGGACGGUACUGACGCUGAGGCGCGAAAGCGUGGGGAGCAAACAGG